RNAcentral lists this unclassified non-coding RNA (194 nucleotides) under uncultured Udeniomyces. RNAcentral describes it as "sequence contains ITS1". The record is from RNAcentral. Lineage: Eukaryota; Fungi; Basidiomycota; Tremellomycetes; Cystofilobasidiales.
GAGAACCAAGAGAUCCGUUGUUGAAAGUUUUAUUUUGUUUAUAUAAAACGGUUACAUUCAUUAAACUAGGGGUUUGUAUAAAAUGAUUGGCUUUCGAUUGCUCAAAAGCCAAAACUGUGCACAGGUGUAUGUGGAUUGUGAAGGGUUGGGGAGGUCAGUUAAGACGCUCCCCGAUGUAUUCACUAGUGAUCCUU